RNAcentral lists this small nucleolar RNA (82 nucleotides) under Chelydra serpentina (North American snapping turtle). RNAcentral describes it as "Small nucleolar RNA SNORA49 (ENSCSRG00000013726.1)". Lineage: Eukaryota; Metazoa; Chordata; Testudines; Chelydridae. The record is from Rfam by way of RNAcentral.
UACCCCCAGGCAAUUCCCGCCGCCAGAACAACUGUCUGGCGGCGGGAACUGCCUGGGGGUAAAAAAAAAAAAAAUUAAAAGG